CCUACGGGUGGCAGCAGUAGGGAAUUUUCGGCAAUGGGCGAAAGCCUGACCGAGCAACGCCGCGUGAACGAAGAAGGUCUUCUGAUUGUAAAGUUCUGUUAUAGAGGAAGAACGGUGUACGUAGGAAAUGACUUACAAGUUACGGUACUCUGUGAGAAAGCCACGGCUAACUACGUUCCAGCCGCCGCGGUAAUACGUAGGUGGCGAGCGUUAUCCGGAAUCAUUGGGCGUAAAGAGGGAGCCGGCGGCCUGGAGGGUCUAUUGUUAAAAGGCAGUGGCUUAACCAUUGCAAGGCGAAGAAACCGGCAGGCUAGAGUGCUAAAGAGGAUCGUGGAAUUCCAUGUGUAGCGGUGAAAUGCGUAGAUAUAUGGAGGAACACCAGUGGCGAAGGCGACGAUCUGGGAAGAAACAGACGCUGAGUCCCGAAAGCGUGGGGAGCAAAUAGGAUUAGAUACCCUUGUAGUC
This 465-nucleotide ribosomal RNA is filed under the name uncultured bacterium. RNAcentral's name for it is "partial 16S ribosomal RNA". It matches the Rfam family "Bacterial small subunit ribosomal RNA", at positions 338 to 795 of the family's 1533-position model. The record is from RNAcentral.